GCUUCGGAAAAUGGACAUUAAAAACG
This 26-nucleotide non-coding RNA is filed under the name Cricetulus griseus (Chinese hamster). The record is from RNAcentral. Lineage: Eukaryota; Metazoa; Chordata; Mammalia; Rodentia; Cricetidae.